GGAAACAGAUGCUAAUACCGCAUAGAUCCAAGAACCGCAUGGUUCUUGGCUGAAAGAUGGCGUAACUAUCGCUUUUGGAUGGACCCGCGGCGUAUUAGCUAGUUGGUGAGGUAAUGGCUCACCAAGGCGAUGAUACGUAGCCGAACUGAGAGGUUGAUCGGCCACACUGGGACUGAGACACGGCCCAAACUCCUACGGGAGGCAGCAGUAGGGAAUCUUCCACAAUGGACGCAAGUCUGAUGGAGCAACGCCGCGUGAGUGAAGAAGGCUUUCGGGUCGUAAAACUCUGUUGUUGGAGAAGAAUGGUCGGCAGAGUAACUGUUGUCGGCGUGACGGUAUCCAACCAGAAAACCACGGCUAACUACGUGCCAGCAGCCGCGGUAA
This 384-nucleotide ribosomal RNA is filed under the name uncultured Lactobacillus sp. Its description in RNAcentral is "bacterial SSU rRNA". It matches the Rfam family "Bacterial small subunit ribosomal RNA", at positions 152 to 523 of the family's 1533-position model. The record is from RNAcentral. Lineage: Bacteria; Bacillati; Bacillota; Bacilli; Lactobacillales; Lactobacillaceae.